This 806-nucleotide ribosomal RNA is filed under the name uncultured Pelagibacteraceae bacterium. RNAcentral describes it as "bacterial SSU rRNA". It matches the Rfam family "Bacterial small subunit ribosomal RNA", at positions 35 to 889 of the family's 1533-position model. Lineage: Bacteria; Pseudomonadati; Pseudomonadota; Alphaproteobacteria; Candidatus Pelagibacterales; Candidatus Pelagibacteraceae. The record is from RNAcentral.
GCUGGCGGCACGCCUAACACAUGCAAGUCGAACGAAGUAGCAAUACUUAGUGGCAGACGGGUGAGUAACAUGUAGGUAUCUGCCCUUUGGCCUGGAAUAACACGAGGAAACUUGUGCUAAUACCGGAUAAGUCUUUACGGAGAAAGCUUUAUGCACCAUUGGAUGAGCCUGCACUUGAUUAGUUUGUUGGUGGGGUAAUGGCCUACCAAGACUGUGAUCAAUAGCUGAUUUGAGAGGAUGAUCAGCCACAUUGGGACUGAGACACGGCCCAAACUCCUACGGGAGGCAGCAGUGGGGAAUCUUGCACAAUGGAGGAAACUCUGAUGCAGCGAUGCCGCGUGAGUGAAGAAGGCCUUUGGGUUGUAAAGCUCUUUCGUCGGGGAAGAAAAUGACUGUACCCGAAUAAGAAGGUCCGGCUAACUUCGUGCCAGCAGCCGCGGUAAUACGAAGGGACCUAGCGUAGUUCGGAAUUACUGGGCUUAAAGAGUUCGUAGGUGGUUGAAAAAGUUGGUGGUGAAAUCCCAGAGCUUAACUCUGGAACUGCCAUCAAAACUUUUCAGCUAGAGUUUGAUAGAGGAAAGCAGAAUUUCUAGUGUAGAGGUGAAAUUCGUAGAUAUUAGAAAGAAUACCAAUUGCGAAGGCAGCUUUCUGGAUCAUUACUGACACUGAGGAACGAAAGCAUGGGUAGCGAAGAGGAUUAGAUACCCUCGUAGUCCAUGCCGUAAACGAUGUGUGUUAGACGUUGGAAAUUUAUUUUCAGUGUCGCAGCGAAAGCGAUAAACACACCGCCUGGGGAGUACGACCGC